AUCAGAUCCCAGUACUUUGAGGAACAUUGCAUGCUGAAAGGAGUUCACGAAAAUUUUGUUGGUAUUGAUUAUGUGAUUUUCGGCUUGUGUGUCUUUUCAUUCUUGGGUACUUGGUGCGACUUCAUAACAUUCAAGUAAUAUCUAAUUCAUCACUGAAUGAUAUUAUCUACUAUGAAUUUCCUAUUAUAUAUUGAUUAUAAUGCUAUUUUAAUCAGGGUAUAACGUGGAAGAGGCAGUCUUUUAAGGAUGAAAUUUACCAUGGUGAGGAAAUUGAGGAAAUAAGAGCUCUAGGAUUUGGGAUCAGCUCAACGAGAGAUGAGUGUUGCAAGUACUCUCGGAAAGAUGGCUUUCCAACCGACUUAAGAGUUUCUGGAAGAAUAAUGCAGAAGGGAUACUUGAAAUUAAUUUUCAUGAAGUCGGUUAUUGUAUUCGUGUUUUUGUUUUUGGUGUUUGGGGAAUACAUUUAAUGUAUUUUACCACUAGAUGUUAUGUAUGAAAUACGUAAGAUUUCAAUAACAUUUGUUAAAUUUAGUUAUUUAUAAUAUUAAUAAUAUUACCAUUUUCUUGAAAAUGGUAAUAUUUUUUUUUUAAUAAUUUGCCAAAAGAAUACUAACAGUUAUAUCCGUUAGGAAUUUUGCUAGGACGUUACAAUUAACAACCGUUACAGUCACGUUUCUAACGGAUACAACUGUUAGAACUAUUUAUUUUUCUAACGGAUUUGGAUAAUUUUGCCAACGGUUUAUGUCCGUUAGAAAUUUUAGACCUUAAAUUUCUAACGCCAU
Non-coding RNA from Erythranthe guttata (spotted monkey flower), 782 nucleotides. Lineage: Eukaryota; Viridiplantae; Streptophyta; Magnoliopsida; Lamiales; Phrymaceae. The record is from RefSeq and is a predicted model, not a curated record.